ACGGGUGAGUAAUGUCUGGGGAUCUGCCCGAUAGAGGGGGAUAACCACUGGAAACGGUGGCUAAUACCGCAUAACGUCGCAAGACCAAAGAGGGGGACCUUCGGGCCUCUCACUAUCGGAUGAACCCAGAUGGGAUUAGCUAGUAGGCGGGGUAACGGCCCACCUAGGCGACGAUCCCUAGCUGGUCUGAGAGGAUGGCCAGCCACACUGGAACUGAGACACGGUCCAGACUCCUACGGGAGGCAGCAGUGGGGAAUAUUGCACAAUGGGCGCAAGCCUGAUGCAGCCAUGCCGCGUGUAUGAAGAAGGCCUUCGGGUUGUAAAGUACUUUCAGCGGGGAGGAAGGCAGUGAGGUUAAUAACCUUGUUGAUUGACGUUACCCGCAGAAGAAGCACCGGCUAACUCCGUGCCAGCAGCCGCGGUAAUACGGAGGGUGCAAGCGUUAAUCGGAAUUACUGGGCGUAAAGCGCACGCAGGCGGUCUGUUAAGUCAGAUGUGAAAUCCCCGGGCUUAACCUGGGAACUGCAUUUGAAACUGGCAGGCUUGAGUCUCGUAGAGGGGGGUAGAAUUCCAGGUGUAG
RNAcentral lists this ribosomal RNA (580 nucleotides) under uncultured bacterium. Its description in RNAcentral is "bacterial SSU rRNA". It matches the Rfam family "Bacterial small subunit ribosomal RNA", at positions 102 to 678 of the family's 1533-position model. The record is from RNAcentral.